Molecule: ribosomal RNA, 465 nt
Filed under: Vreelandella stevensii
Lineage: Bacteria; Pseudomonadati; Pseudomonadota; Gammaproteobacteria; Oceanospirillales; Halomonadaceae
Description: partial 16S ribosomal RNA
Rfam family: Bacterial small subunit ribosomal RNA
Source: RNAcentral
CCUACGGGUGGCUGCAGUGGGGAAUAUUGGACAAUGGGCGAAAGCCUGGUCCAGCCAUGCCGCGUGUGUGAAGAAGGCCUUCGGGUUGUAAAGCACUUUCAGUGGGGAAGAAAGCCUUGGGGCUAAUACCCUCGAGGAAGGACAUCACCCACAGAAGAAGCACCGGCUAACUCCGUGCCAGCAGCCGCGGUAAUACGGAGGGUGCGAGCGUUAAUCGGAAUUACUGGGCGUAAAGCGCGCGUAGGCGGUCUGAUAAGCCGGUUGUGAAAGCCCCGGGCUCAACCUGGGAACGGCAUCCGGAACUGUCAGGCUAGAGUGCAGGAGAGGAAGGUAGAAUUCCCGGUGUAGCGGUGAAAUGCGUAGAGAUCGGGAGGAAUACCAGUGGCGAAGGCGGCCUUCUGGACUGACACUGACGCUGAGGUGCGAAAGCGUGGGUAGCAAACAGGAUUAGAUACCCCAGUAGUC